RNAcentral lists this ribosomal RNA (253 nucleotides) under uncultured bacterium. RNAcentral describes it as "partial 16S ribosomal RNA". It matches the Rfam family "Bacterial small subunit ribosomal RNA", at positions 524 to 776 of the family's 1533-position model. The record is from RNAcentral.
UACGAGGGGGGCAAGCGUUGUUCGGAAUUAUUGGGCGUAAAGGGCGCGUAGGCGGCGUGGUAAGUCACUUGUGAAAUCUCUGAGCUUAACUCAGAACGGCCAAGUGAUACUGCUGUGCUAGAGUGCAGAAGGGGCAAUCGGAAUUCUUGGUGUAGCGGUGAAAUGCGUAGAUAUCAAGAGGAACACCUGAGGUGAAGACGGGUUGCUGGGCUGACACUGACGCUGAGGCGCGAAAGCCAGGGGAGCAAACGGG